AUUGAACGCUGGCGGCAGGCCUAACACAUGCAAGUCGAGCGGAGCGACGGACGGGUGGGUGAUGACUAGGAAGCUGCCUGGUAGUGGGGGAUAACGUACGGCAGGGGGCGCUAAUAACUCAUACUAGCAAACGAGCCUAGGUCGGAUUAGCUAGUUGGUGGGGUAAAGGCCUACCAAGGCGACGAUCCGUAACUGGUCUGAGAGGAUGAUCAGUCACACUGGAACUGAGACACGGUCCAGACUCCUACGGGAGGCAGCAGUGGGGAAUAUUGGACAAUGGGCGAAAGCCUGAUCCAGCCAUGCCGCGUGUGUGAAGAAGGUCUUCGGAUUGUAAAGUACUUUAAGUUGGGAGGCGUUACCAACAGAAUAAGCACCGGCUAACUUCGUGCCAGCAGCCGCGGUAAUAC
This 407-nucleotide ribosomal RNA is filed under the name uncultured bacterium. RNAcentral's name for it is "partial 16S ribosomal RNA". It matches the Rfam family "Bacterial small subunit ribosomal RNA", at positions 30 to 526 of the family's 1533-position model. The record is from RNAcentral.